Molecule: long non-coding RNA, 1363 nt
Filed under: Heterocephalus glaber (naked mole-rat)
Lineage: Eukaryota; Metazoa; Chordata; Mammalia; Rodentia; Bathyergidae
Description: lncRNA (ENSHGLG00000034244.1)
Source: RNAcentral
GUAUCUACACAGCUUUCAUCCCACGGCCUGCAUGUAAGAGGCUCUUACAGGGCCCCAGAGCUCCAUUGACAUCUCAAUGAUCUACUUGCUGCAUCAAGAAAAGGAAAAAAUGGAAUGGCAGCUUUAAUACUGUGAACAAAGUUUCAGAAAUGAAAAGCUUAUAUUUCCAUGGAUGCAAGGUAUGACAUGACCAGCCUUUUUUCUGCUGUGACCUCUGCCAUGCUGUACUUGCCUUGGAGCCAACCAAUCAUGGUCUACAAACGGUCCCAGCCUGAAAGUCACAGUACCCUCAGUGAACGUUUGCCAGACACAACGAGGACUUCUUUCCUGAAGCACCUGUGUGUGCUUCUCGACCCAGGCGUGCUGCAGGCCAGAAGUGCCAGACUAUGAGCAGCUGUAAGAGUGAUGGUCAUCCACUGAGAGCAGAAUUGGUAGAUAAGUAUGCCUGCUUCCUUGCUCCUUGUUGGCUCAUUUCUGAGGUGUGUCCUACAGAGUCUCCCAGAGAGUUCCCAGGGGACUGAGGCCCCACAGUGAUGAAAGCAUCAAUACACCCUUUAUCAGCUCUUCUUCUCUGUCUACUUCUUCAGACCUUCACUAUUAUUCCUGGGAUCACCUUCCAUAGGAGCUUAGAUAUACAAGAUGACCAAGAAAUAUGGUAAUUGUUUAAAUAUGAUAUAUUACAGUAAAAGAUAUAUUGCUGUCAACCACCUUCAAAAUACUCCCCCUGGCUUCAAACACACUUAUUCCGUAGGUAUUGCUACUUUCUGAAGCAGUUUUGAGAGUCCUCUUUCAUGUCUUUAUGAGAUGUGAUCAAGAAUAUGGUGAAUGCUGUGUUCCAUUGAAAAGAAAGGCAGGCUUGUAAAAACAUUACGGUGGUGUCCUCAUUCACUUAAAUCACUGGAUCUGGUAUUGUGUGCAACUUCUGGUUCUUCCCCAAGUCAUGAUCAUGAAAGGUCAAGGUUUUGAGUCAAUUCAGGACACAGAGGCAGCUAAAGAUGCAAAACAAGACUCCCAGAAUUGCUUCAGGAAGUAGUAAGAACAAUUGGAUAACAAUUUUUGAGUAUUUUGAGAGGGAUCAAUGGCAAUAUGUCUUUUAUUAUAAUACAUUUUAAAAAAUGUUUAACAUUCACCGUAUUUUUGACUACACCUUGUAUAUCCAAAACCUUGUCUCAAAUUUGCUCUAGGGGGGUCCAAAUUAAGAUUACAUUUAAACAUUGCCAAUUUCUUAUCUUUAUAGUAUUUUUUCUUCCUUCCUUCCUUCCUUUUUUUAUAUCAAGUUUGGUGGCUAAAAUCUUAGCAACCAGGCAUGGGUUUAAAUCCUGGCUUCCCCUGUAAUUAGCUGUGUAACUUGGGGCAAGGAUUU